RNAcentral lists this ribosomal RNA (474 nucleotides) under uncultured bacterium. RNAcentral describes it as "bacterial SSU rRNA". It matches the Rfam family "Bacterial small subunit ribosomal RNA", at positions 34 to 507 of the family's 1533-position model. The record is from RNAcentral.
CGCUGGCGGAAUGCUUUACACAUGCAAGUCGAACGGUAGAGGGGGCAACCCCUUGAGAGUGGCGAACGGGUGAGUAAUAUAUCGGAACGUGCCCAGUCGUGGGGGAUAACGUAGCGAAAGCUACGCUAAUACCGCAUACGAUCUAUGGAUGAAAGCGGGGGAUCGCAAGACCUCGCGCGAUUGGAGCGGCCGAUAUCAGAUUAGGUAGUUGGUGAGGUAAAGGCUCACCAAGCCGACGAUCUGUAGCUGGUCUGAGAGGACAACCAGCCACACUGGGACUGAGACACGGCCCAGACUCCUACGGGAGGCAGCAGUGGGGAAUUUUGGACAAUGGGCGCAAGCCUGAUCCAGCAAUGCCGCGUGCAGGAUGAAGGCCUUCGGGUUGUAAACUGCUUUUGUACGGAACGAAACGGUGAGCUCUAAUACAGUUUGCUAAUGACGGUACCGUAAGAAUAAGCACCGGCUAACUACGUA